GGCCGUUAUAACGCUUCCAACAAAAAGGGAGAUGUUCUCGAUGAAGUGGCCAAGCUGCGUAGUAAAAGCUAUGAGAUCAUGCACACUCAAAAAAAGCUUCCUGGACGUGAGCAAUAUCAGCGGAAACGUUUUCUAUAACGUUUGCAGUAGAGAUCUUGCAAUCAAAGUAGCUGGCGUCCUGGCGUAGCACGCAAUUCACAUACUUGACUCGAAGCCUGCGCGCUUGCCUGUGGCCAGUAUAGAUCCAGCAGCUUACUUCUGGCAAGGCACGAAACAGCAAUCAAUUACGAGAGAUGGAGAUGGACAAUGUCAGCUUUAAGUACAGUGCUCGGACCAAACUUUAUCUUUUAAUAGUGGGACGCGAUUCGAGCGAUAUUUUGGUGCACUCAAAUCGAUCGACAAAGGAGGAAAUGAUCGAGACGUACCGAGAUAUGCUCCUAGCAGAGAGAUGGCUGCCAAGUACACGCACCAAAUUGCCUACAUACCAAAACUUCGAGCAUUUAGAUCACUUGAGAAACUGGAUCGGUCGAAGGAACUUCUUUUCUACCUGUUUGUUGGCGUUGGAGGGAGCGAUAAACCAUUGAUCAUCGAGCCUAGAGUACCGAAAAUCAUCGUUAUGGAGUCGUACUUAUCACCUUCUUGGAAAAGCCUCUUGUAGGACGCAAACACCGUCAUGAACGACUUCGACUUCAUGAAAUCGUCCCCUCAAGAGUGGAGAAAGGGAAAGAGCGCGCUCUACGGAGUUCUCUGAGAGGGUGUUUAUAUAUUAAGCUUCCGUGAAUCGAAUAUCUAUGAUGUUCUCAAAGGACGAACUUCUGGGAAAAUGCAUCCCACUCACAGCGAGCUUUCUUCUUCUUCUCAAAGGCUUCGAGUUUCUUGGCUGCGCAGUGCUUGUAGGACUUUGGUGUCUCCAUCGCAACGUUUGAACGAUGUGCGUGGAAUCAAGCAACAGUUUCUACGUGAGCGGUUUCGAGCGAAAGACCGAUCCUGUGCGUCUGCCCGUGCAAACUCGAAGAAAUCACCGCAAGUAAAACAGGCCUGUGAUGGGAACUUUUUCCACUUGGUACCAGGUUUUAUAAAAAUCACUCCACUGGAGGCCAGAUUGAUGGGCUUCGAUUCUUCGCUUUGUUGGUGGUGCUGCUGGUGGUGGCGCUGAUGAUGACCAACAAAGCAUCCACGAGCAGUGUCUCGUUUCUCCUUGGAAUUUCCAAGAGGCGCCUUCCCGGUUUGCAAUCAAUUUCUACACAAGCUCUUCGUCAAUCGUCAAAGUUGACUUCUAUUAUGCGAUUUCUCCAAUGGUUUUACAUUUGGCACCAUAUUCCAGAUUUGAUGUCGAGGCUAUCGAGUUCUCUGGGAUCCUUUACGCAAUCAUUGUUCUUGCACUUAGUAAGUUCUCUAGAUUUCAUUUACAUUUGGAGGUCUUUGUUCUCCAGAAUUUUCUAUCGAUUUCUAUUCUUUGGAAUUAAGCAAUCGUAGCUCAUCUAUUUCCAA
Molecule: long non-coding RNA, 1491 nt
Organism: Selaginella moellendorffii
Lineage: Eukaryota; Viridiplantae; Streptophyta; Lycopodiopsida; Selaginellales; Selaginellaceae
Exons: 8
Source: RefSeq, a predicted model, not a curated record